UGGGGAAUUUUGCACAAUGGGGGCAACCCUGAUGCAGCGACGCCGCGUGAUUUAGAAGGCCUUCGGGUUGUAAAAAUCUUUUGUAUGGGAAGAAAAUGACAGUACCAUACGAAUAAGGACCGGCUAAUUACGUGCCAGCAGCCGCGGUAAUACGUAAGGUCCGAGCGUUGUCCGGAAUCAUUGGGCGUAAAGGGUACGUAGGCGGAUAAGCAAGUUAGAAGUGAAAUCCUAUAGCUCAACUAUAGUAAGCUUUUAAAACUGCUCAUCUUGAGGUAUGGAAGGGAAAGUGGAAUUCCUAGUGUAUCGGUGAAAUGCGCAGAUAUUAGGAGGAAUACCGGUGGCGAAGGCAUCUUUCUGACCAUAAACUGACGCUAAAGUACGAAAGCGUGGGUAGCAAACAGG
RNAcentral lists this ribosomal RNA (402 nucleotides) under Actinomycetes bacterium. RNAcentral's name for it is "Actinobacteria bacterium partial 16S ribosomal RNA". It matches the Rfam family "Bacterial small subunit ribosomal RNA", at positions 355 to 776 of the family's 1533-position model. Lineage: Bacteria; Bacillati; Actinomycetota; Actinomycetes. The record is from RNAcentral.